Long non-coding RNA from Pteropus alecto (black flying fox), 1351 nucleotides. RefSeq lists it as uncharacterized. Lineage: Eukaryota; Metazoa; Chordata; Mammalia; Chiroptera; Pteropodidae. The transcript has 7 exons. The record is from RefSeq and is a predicted model, not a curated record.
GGCGGGCAGAGGGACGGCGGCAGAACCUGCGGGCUAGGUGGGUGACUCACUUGCAAGGAGGAAAGGAAGCGAAGACUGCUGCUGCCGGGGAGCGAGGAGAUGCUUGGAGCCCAGAGGUCAGGCCGCUGCCACCUCCUUCUGCAGCGGAGAUGGCGAAGCCAGCGGGCGCAUGGUCCGCAACAGCGACCUUGCGCGCAGGUGGCAGUGUAGAAGCCAAAACGGAGCUUGUAGAAGUGGUUUCUGAAAAAUGAGUGAAUGUACAUGAGUAAGCAAGCAUAGGAAUCUGAAAAACCACAGUCAACAUACAGAACAUUUCCAGCGCCCCAGAAGAUUUCUUCCUCUUUCCCCUUCUGGUCAGUUUUCAUCCUAUUUUCAACCUAAAGGCUGUGGAUGAAAUUGUGAAUGGAAUUAACUUCAUACUAGAAUUACCUGAAAACUCCACAAACUGGAAUGAAAUGCAGAUAACUCUUUAGACAACUUUUGUAGGAAAAGUGUCUCAUGUGAUCUGGAACAAACACAUUUUAUAAUCAGAUUUAUCAAGCUGUGAAGAGAGAGUUUAAGUGAAUGGAAGCAUCAGCAUUCUGUCACCAGGAAAUACUGCUUUAUCCAGAAUUGAACAGUGUCCCGUGAGAUAGGAAGUGACAACCUGAUAUUGCAGAAGAAAUCAAGAUAAGAGAGUGAUUUUAGAGGCUGCCCGCACUCUGGCUCAUGGCUACUUCCUCUAUCUUCAAAGCCAGCAACAGUAGGUUGAGUACUUCUCACAUCAAAUCACUCUGAUACUAACUUUUCUGCCUCCUUCUUGUAAGGAUCCCUAUGAUAACAUUUGACCCACCUAGAUGAUCCAGGAUAAUCUCCCCAUCUCAAAAUCUUCAAUUUAAUCACAUCUGCAAAGCCCCUUUUGCUAUGUAAGGUAACAUUCAUAGGUUCCCAGAAUUGGGAUAAGGACAUCUUUGGGUGCAAUUAUUCUGCCUACCACGUUAGCCACACUGCAACUUUCAAUGAGCUCUAGUUCAGCAAGUAAACAUUAUGAUUUCUUUUAAAGAACCAAGUUUAUGGCACCCCCUGGGGGCUCCUAAGUUACCUUCGCCUACUGUUACUUUUCCUUGUGUAGGGCCAAUCUUCUUUUAUAGAUGAGAAAACGAAAGCUCAAAGAACUAAAUGAUUAUCUUCAACAACCCUCCAGUGUGAACAAGUCAGGCAUAAAUCUCGAGCAUGGACUUUUGAUGUUCUACCAGCAUGUUUCUCACCUUUCUUCAGUGCCUCCUCUCUAGGAAGUGUGUCCUAAAGAGAUGUAAGGGUGAAGGCACCAUAUCAGGUAGAGGUGGGCAUGGUGAGGGUUGAGGUUAGAUAA